AAAAAAAGUAUUUUGGUUUAUUGCAAUAUGCUGACUGUUUUAACUCAUAGAGAAUAUUGUUCAAAUAAACACAUAAUAAAUACAAAUACCUAUUGAUGUUAACAGAUAUGGCUGUGUUCAGAAAUAAACAUACAUUCAUUGUUAAGUAAACAACCCAAUUUAUUUGAUUGUCAAGCAUUCUUUAAAAACUCAUACGUAAUUGUCAAUCAUACUUUUAAAAAGUCAUACACAAUUGUCAAGUAUACUUUAAAAGCUUGGACAUUAUAAAAAUGACACAACCAGGAAGUUGUAUGAAUAAUUAAAGAGUAUCUCUAUGCAUGCUAGAUUAAAAAAAAGACAACCUAAACAACUUAUAAUGGCCCUGCCUAUUUGAGCUCGCAUACAGAGGGCAGAACUUUAAAAGAAACCACACAAUUUUGAGAAAUGCGCUAGAUAUCCUAGGGGUGACUGUUUAUGGAAAGCAUUUUAAGGGCAGAUGAGUAAGUUAUGUUUGUGUAUUUGGUUUCUAAAGUGUUUUUAGGAGAGGUGAAAAUGGUUAUAAAAAAUGUGGGUAAAUAUUUACAUGGGCGGUAUUUCCGAAAAAUAAUGUUAAAAAUCCGAAAAUACCUGUGUAUAAUGCUCUUCAACUUCCUCUUUUCAUUAAAAGCGGCGGAGAUUAGAAAUUCCAAAUACUUUAGGAGAUAUCGAAUUUUUAAAUUUCUUCAUAUGUAGUUGAGCGGUAUUUGCGAAAAAAAAAUGUUAAAAAUCCGAAAAUACCUUUAUUAUAUGCUCUUCAACUUCCUCUUUUCAUUAAAAGCGGCGGAGAUUAGAAAUUCCAAAUACUUUAGGAGAUAUCGAAUUUUUAAAUUUCAGCACAAAACCAGCGCAUUCCUGUGGCGUGCGUGCACCAUUGUUUCUUGUUUACGUACGAGUAUUUUUUUUUUAUUGGAUAAUGAUGUCACGUGAUUGUUCGUGAUAGGCCAGAAUUCAAAUUAACUAAUACGUGAUUAUUUAGUUCAAUUAUUGUUUAAAACGGUGUUUAAUUACCGCCUCCAACUUAGGUGAGUUUUUAACGUUUCUAAUUUUAAAGUCUUAUUUGUUAUUUUGAUAUUGUUGCGCAAGUAAUAAGUAACAAAAAAAUUUACCUCAGUUACUGUACAUCCUUUGUUACGGGUUUGUUAGGUAAGGUCAGUUACAUUAUAAAUAAUUUAAAACUAAGGAAUAAUUAAAAUUAAUUCACAUUAUUUUUAAUAUCACCUUAGUUUGAAAGUAUUUAUAAUGUAACUGACCUGACCUAAUCGACCAUUUUAGUUUACUGUUCACCCUUUGUCCGGGUUUGUUUGGUCAGGUCAGUUACAUUAUAAAUAUUUUAAAACUAAACAGCCAUUAAAAUUAAUUCACAAAAUAAUUUUUAAUGUCGGCUUAGUUUGAAAGUAUUAAUAAUGUAACUGACCUGACCUAAUCAACCAUUUUAUUAAUUACGCAUUCACGAUUCACGUAUUCACGUCUCACGAACACACGGAAAAAUAACAAAAAUGGCGCCGCUCGAAUGGUUCCACAGGUCUUGUAUUGCAAAAUUAAAAAAUUCGAUAUCUCCUAAAGUAUUUGGAAUUUCUUAUCUCCGCCGCUUUUAAUGAAAAGAGGAAGUUGAAGAGCAUAUCAUAAAGUUGUUCCGUGCACGACGAGAAGACUGCGCGCCAGUCCAGAGGAGACACCGCGCUAGAAGCACCAGCGAGCGUCACGCUUAUCAUCCCGCCUCGCUGACACAGAUACACACACCCUGACGAGGCCUAAAGUUUCUUUCAACACGCCUGACUGAAUACUUGUUUUUUGUUUCGCGGGCAUCCAGAAUCCUGCUCCAGCUCGUAAAGAACUCGACGUGAUGGUUGAAGAUGCAGAGAAAAGGGAAAUAUCCUGUUGUUCCUCGAAACCAUGGCAGGAUGCCGCAACCAGAGUUUCCUUCGACUGCCGCGCGGCAGUGGCCCGCUACUGUGCACCCUCCGGGGCUGGACGGAGGGGAAGCGGCGGGAGCGAUGACCGGCAAACGGAGCAGCCCUGACUACCGCUACGCCCCCACGCCGAGCGAGACGUCGUCCUGACGACUCAGAGGAGCAGUUGCCAGAGGCGGGCAGCGGGGAAGCAGCUACGGGGAGCGUGCCGUGAACAUGGUUCUCGCAAGUGGACGCCAACUUCGGGGCCAGGCUGUGCGAAGGUUUGCUGUGCCAGCAAGCCAAGGCCAGGCUCUAGGCGCGCCGCGCACAGCGCUCGGGGCGCACGGAACACAAGAGUUGCCCGACGUUCCAACACCCGUCAGUGCCACCGUCAAAGUUUAUAUUCCUGCGUGCCUUCUCACUGAACACUUCUAUUCCAUUUUGGGUUGUGGACACAUCAUUUGUAAUGAAGUCGCCAGUAGCGUUCCGGAGCGUUCCGGACGACAUGAGCGGGAUCGCGGGGUUCUCCCCCGGGCUCUGCGUAGCUCGAGACAUCUCGGGCAGCGCCUGCCAGCUCGCCGUGAACGGCGUCCCAUAUGCCAGCCCUGCCCCUCUCGGUGGAUCCCGUGCUGUGUGACUUCACCACCCUUUCUCUCUCUCUCUCUCUCUCCUGUACCACCUUAUUUCCUCUCUCCAUCCCUUCUUGUUUCGCUGCAUAAAAAAGAACAGUUUUCCGAAAUUGAAACCCACGUGGUAAAUUUCAUCAAAGAGAAGAGAGGAGACGGAAUUCCAAUUUCACGAGUCGUAAUGAAAUAAAAAAAACCGAGAUACUGCUCGUGAACUGAACAUUCCACGGACUAGCUCCAAGGCGAGCAAAGAAUUAAAGUGGAAAUGGAAAAAAAAUUGCCCUGCAGAAAAAAAGUAAGAAUUCAUUGACACAUGUCCUGCAGUUUUUUUUCCCCUGUUGCGACUAAACUUGUUGGUACGUACUUUGAUGGAUAUGUUGGCAGGGAUGGUAGACCGCGCGCGAGAUGAGCUGCUGAAGCCCAGCGCUGGUGGUGUUUUGCCGUGCCGUGCCGUGCCUGCGGCGCGGAGUUCUCGGUGACGUGCGGCGACGAGGGAGUCGUGGGCCGGAGCUCACGGGUAUCAGGAAGUCACGGAGAAGUUCCUGUUGGCGGGACUGGACACGUCAACAGGCGGGGUGACGAAUUGCGACAGCAAGGCUGGGUUUAUAAACCAGG
Molecule: long non-coding RNA, 3151 nt
Organism: Bacillus rossius redtenbacheri
Lineage: Eukaryota; Metazoa; Arthropoda; Insecta; Phasmatodea; Bacillidae
Exons: 7
Source: RefSeq, a predicted model, not a curated record